This 480-nucleotide ribosomal RNA is filed under the name Alcaligenes sp. 'ARUP UnID 121'. Its description in RNAcentral is "bacterial SSU rRNA". It matches the Rfam family "Bacterial small subunit ribosomal RNA", at positions 35 to 504 of the family's 1533-position model. Lineage: Bacteria; Pseudomonadati; Pseudomonadota; Betaproteobacteria; Burkholderiales; Alcaligenaceae. The record is from RNAcentral.
GCUAGCGGGAUGCUUUACACAUGCAAGUCGAACGGCAGCGCGAGAGAGCUUGCUCUCUUGGCGGCGAGUGGCGGACGGGUGAGUAAUGUAUCGGAACGUGCCCAGUAGCGGGGGAUAACUACUCGAAAGAGUAGCUAAUACCGCAUACGCCCUAYGGGGGAAAGGGGGGGAUCGCAAGACCUCUCACUAUUGGAGCGGCCGAUAUCGGAUUAGCUAGUUGGUGGGGUAAAGGCCUACCAAGGCGACGAUCCGUAGCUGGUUUGAGAGGACGACCAGCCACACUGGGACUGAGACACGGCCCAGACUCCUACGGGAGGCAGCAGUGGGGAAUUUUGGACAAUGGGGGAAACCCUGAUCCAGCCAUCCCGCGUGUAUGAUGAAGGCCUUCGGGUUGUAAAGUACUUUUGGCAGAGAAGAAAAGGCGCCCUCUAAUACAGGGCGCUGCUGACGGUAUCUGCAGAAUAAGCACCGGCUAACUAC